CCUCAUGAGCCCUGUACAGUGCCUGCACCCUGCUAAGUGCAGUAAUCCAAGAAGGCAAGGGAGACUGGCAGCUCCAUGGCUCAGCCACGCCCAGGAAGGCCCCCUUCUGUGUGGAGGCAUGAGACUACCCAGGCAGAACAGAGAAGCAGCCUACAGGACACACAGGUACAGGCUAGAGGAAGGGGCUGCUGGCUCAUACAAUCUGCAGGUUUUCCACAUGCAGGCCUGGAGGGAGCACCCUCUGUGUGGAGCAGUGCAAGCACCUACCUGUCUGUCGGUCCAACAGUGCUAACAGUGAGCCCCAAGGCCCCCAGACAAGCUGAGCUCCAGACACGUGGCACUGACAGAUGCUGAGGUCUGUGCUCCACCCUCUCUGCUUCACCUGCAACCUCCUCCAACCCUCAGGACAGACAGCCUCAGAGGUUCCAGGGUAUUCAGAGCAGCAGGGGCAAGGUGUUGGGUGUGUUUUGUCCCAGCAACAAGAAACAUGUAACCAAGACACUGAGACACAGUACUGACCCCCACAGUUUAAUGAAGGAAACAUUUUAUUGGGACCUCAGUUUCUGAGGACUUAGUCCAAGACUGGCUGGCUCACAAAUAAAACCAUCAUGGCAAAGGGGUGCAACAGAGCAAAGGUGCUUGGUUCAAGUGACUGGGAAGCAGAGAUGUGGAAAAUCACAACAGAAGACAAGGCCGGGGCCACACACCCCUAGACCAACCCACCAGGAUCUACCCAGAUAUACCCAGAGCAAAACAGACUGAGGUGCAGAGAUGAGCACAAUGUGAUCAGAUGGCAGGGCCCACCCCAAGUGUUCUGAGGCUGGAGCCUCAGACUUUCCUGAUCUCAACUGCCAGCCCCAUUCGGGAGAGGAUCUUGGUUUGGGAUGUUUUAGUCUUGUUCCUGUCUGGACCAUCUUCAGAUUCCAAGGUGGUCAGCAAGCCCACAAUGUGAGACCCAGCCCCAGCUGGCCUUCAACUCAUGGAGAUUCUCCUGUCUCGGCCUCCCAAGUCUGGGAUUACAGGUGUGCACCACCACAGCUGGCAACAAUGAGUGAAUUUAAAGAUCAAUCCAAAGCUAUGAGGAUGUAUGCAGCUCAGUGCUCCAUGAACUCAAGGGGACUGAGAUGGAAGGGGAGAACAUAAAAACAACUGAGAUGUGCUAUGUGCUGGUUCUGCCUGUGUGAAGCUCUGCCAGGCUCAGCAGGGAGCCUGGCCAAUAUGGCCCUGGACAGCGCCUCCCUUCAACGCUGACUGACUCCCACAUUCUUCUUGCAAACCUGAAAAUUGAACUCCCUGCUUCUCUUGCACAAGCCAACAUCCCCAAGUCAGCUGUCUCAAAGUCUCUCUGCCCACCCCUUCAA
Molecule: long non-coding RNA, 1361 nt
Organism: Cavia porcellus (domestic guinea pig)
Lineage: Eukaryota; Metazoa; Chordata; Mammalia; Rodentia; Caviidae
Exons: 5
Source: RefSeq, a predicted model, not a curated record